UUGGCCGAGACACUCUGGGGU
Molecule: microRNA, 21 nt
Filed under: Asparagus officinalis (garden asparagus)
Lineage: Eukaryota; Viridiplantae; Streptophyta; Magnoliopsida; Asparagales; Asparagaceae
Description: aof-miR12152
Source: miRBase by way of RNAcentral